UACGGAGGGGGCUAGCGUUGUCCGGAAUUAUUGGGCGUAAAGAGCUCGUAGGCGGUGUGUCGCGUCGGCCGUGAAAACCUGCAGCUUAACUGUGGGCUUGCGGUCGAUACGGGCAUCACUGGAGUUCGGCAGGGGAGACUGGAAUUCCUGGUGUAGCGGUGAAAUGCGCAGAUAUCAGGAGGAACACCGGUGGCGAAGGCGGGUCUCUGGACAGUUCCUGACGCUGAGGCACGAAGGUCAGGGGAGCAAACGGG
This 254-nucleotide ribosomal RNA is filed under the name uncultured bacterium. RNAcentral describes it as "partial 16S ribosomal RNA". It matches the Rfam family "Bacterial small subunit ribosomal RNA", at positions 524 to 776 of the family's 1533-position model. The record is from RNAcentral.